GAUAAACAGUGAUCCAUAAAUAACUUCGUAAAUCAAACAUUAAUUCACUAAAUCGAUUCUCUUCACUAGAAUCAACACUAACACAAAAGAAACAAGAAAAUUAAGAAGAAGAGAUAGCACCAAGCUUAUCUCCAGCUCAGUACUAUCGCAAUCUGGCCUUUUCUUCCCCUCUUCUAUCUUCCUUAUACUACCCCGAGAUACCAACUCCUAUACUACAGAUGAUAACUACUUUUCCUGACUAUUCAUCCAUUCUACCUAUUGAACCACCUUUUCAGCAGUUAUCUAUCCUUGUUUAUACUAUACACUAGGUAUCUACAUUCUGAAAAUAACUACUUAUUCUACAUAGCCCCACUCCUAACUGUGCAGCGUCCCUACAAACACAAUAUUGAUAAA
This 393-nucleotide long non-coding RNA is filed under the name Physcomitrium patens. Its description in RNAcentral is "long non-coding RNA (PPAT_LNC011478)". The record is from RNAcentral. Lineage: Eukaryota; Viridiplantae; Streptophyta; Bryopsida; Funariales; Funariaceae.